Molecule: ribosomal RNA, 253 nt
Filed under: uncultured bacterium
Lineage: Bacteria
Description: partial 16S ribosomal RNA
Rfam family: Bacterial small subunit ribosomal RNA
Source: RNAcentral
UACGUAGGUGGCGAGCGUUGUCCGGAUUUACUGGGCGUAAAGAGCGCGCAGGCGGUCGUAUAAGUCGCGUGUGAAAGCCCCCGGCUCAACUGGGGAGGGUCACGCGAUACUGUUCGACUCGAAGGCAGGAGAGGGAAGUGGAAUUCCCGGUGUAGUGGUGAAAUGCGUAGAUAUCAGGAGGAACACCUGUGGCGAAAGCGGCGCACUGGACCACAACUGACGCUGAGGCGCGAAAGCUAGGGGAGCAAACGGG